GGGGAUGCCAGGCAUCGACGGUUGAUGUUUGUUGUUGUGUGCAGUGUCGAAAUCGGUCUCCAUUUCGUUAAAAGGAGUCCAGUAUAGAUGCAAACAAAUCUGUACCAAGUCCAUAUGCUAACGCAUUUGGAUUCGCACCCGCUGUAGCGUAACUAAACGCUCGCCGAUGCGACGCGACAUGAAGUGAGGUCUCAUAUCUUCAUGCUCGUGGAAUAGCCAUGAGACUCUGGAACCCUAGUUCGUUUAGCUAGGCACCCAAGAUGUAUAAACUCGAUAUGCAAUGCUUUUGUCCAUUCUUUAUAUUGCAUAUUUAAACCCUAGAAUGGUCUACGCACUGUAGAAGCACUUGAACGCAUUGAUUCGGACGCGGAUUCGACUUCCGCCAUCUCCACAG
This 394-nucleotide transfer-messenger RNA is filed under the name Candidatus Kaiserbacteria bacterium. It matches the Rfam family "transfer-messenger RNA". From Rfam's summary of the family: Bacterial tmRNA, also known as 10Sa RNA or SsrA, is named for its dual tRNA and mRNA-like properties. Its role is to liberate the mRNA from a stalled ribosome. RNAcentral also lists the same sequence under 1 other name. The record is from RNAcentral. Lineage: Bacteria; Candidatus Kaiseribacteriota.